Varroa destructor (honeybee mite) is the source of this 8072-nucleotide RNA transcript. It is a transcript of the gene named lysine-specific demethylase 8-like, with no coding region annotated. NCBI's taxonomy places the organism in Eukaryota, Metazoa, Arthropoda, Arachnida, Mesostigmata, Varroidae. The record is from RefSeq and is a predicted model, not a curated record.
UUAAUGCGGUUUCGAGGAGAAAGCGAUAUUCGCACUUUACCGGGAGCAUAAGUGCGGUAUAUUAUUGUAUGUGGCCUGCAAGUGUAAGCGAGGGUUCCUCCACGCGUGGAUGUAUGAUUUUGUGUGUUUCAAAGUGCGGUUUGGUGUUCCCUGUGUUUCGCCUAUUUCGGAUACAAACGGUCCAGCCCUCUGCGCUCGUUCCUGCGUUUUAUGGUGAUUGAACCAGUGAGACGUACUUUGCAUUAGUGCAGCGAAAAAGCAGAACGCCAAAUACGAAGAAACAGCAUCUUGACCUGAAGUUGUUCGAUUUUCACGGAACUUGUGUCAGACGCUGUAGUGUGUUUGAUAUCCGAUUGUUGUGAUUCGUCCGACGAACGCAACGGAGCGGCGGUAGCGCGCGAUGUGCACUAGAGUAGCACUCAUGCACCAGAGUUUCCUUGUCUGCUGGCGUAAUCGUCGAGCGUUUUUUGGUUCAUAUUAAUACGGUCACGCUGUGUCGAAUCGUCUUGAAAGCGACAAAUAAGCGAUCUGAACAGUUGCAAUAUGGAUGACGACGAGCGAACAGCAUCCCUUAAGGAAGUGGUUCAAGAAGUCGAGGAGUUCACGAAAAAGGUGGAUACGGCGAGUCUACGGGAAGUUGGUCCGGCCUUCUGUUAUUGCCUUGAUGAGUUGCUAGAAUGCAGCGAUGCCAAGUCUGCCGAUAUUCUAGGUCAAAGUCUUAUUGACGCGCUGUGGGAGCGCAUCAAUAUUGGACCAUGGCGCAGUGUACCACUUGAUCUGAGACGCAUGUUCUCCUAUGCAAGUCUGAUCCGAGCGCGAGCCGUACUUUGCCUUGGAAAUAGGUCGAAAGCAAUCGAAAUUCUUGAUCGAGGACUGGUUCUUGGAGCUCCAAUUAGAAAGGAUGCUCAAACUAACUGGCUCGCUCAAGUAGCCGGAUAUGUACAUGGGCGAUGGAAAAUCUCUGAAAAUCUCAAAAGAAUCGUGGAUCAAAUCGAAGCUGAUAACGACUUGCGUGUUGUAAGUUCGGUGGGAGCUGGAGCUCCCUUUGUGGACCAAGUAACUCUUCCCUCAAUAAAUGAGUUUUUACGCGUACUUAUUGCGAAACAGCCGAUAAAGAUCCUGCAACUGAUGGACUGUUGGCCUGCCAUGACGUGUUGGAGCCUGCGUUACUUUUUAGAAACGUUUGGUCAAAGGACAGUACCAAUUGAGGUGGGCUCACGGUAUACAGAUGAAGAAUGGUCACAGAAACUUGUUACGUUUGAAAGUUUCAUUCGAGAAUAUCUGCAACCGGCCACUGUCGAAAAUACCGGAUAUCUAGCCCAGUACAACCUACUUGAUCAAGUACAUGAAUUGAGAUCCGACAUUAUUGUGCCCGAUUAUUGCUAUGUACUAAGCGAUGCCGAACCUGACAUCAACUUUUGGUUGGGUGGGCGCACGACGUCUCCUUUGCAUUUUGAUGACCGAGAUAAUAUCCUCACUCAGGUGUUUGGCACUAAACUCGUUUUGCUUUACGGAGCUGAAGACACCGAGCUUCUAUACCCAUUUGAGAAUCAGCUACUUCAUAAUACGAGUCGUGUUGACCCGGAAAAUGCCGAUGAUCCCCGAUAUCCAAAAUUCGCGGAUGCAAAAUGUACUAAAGUCCUUCUGGAAGCGGGCCAGGCGCUCUUCAUACCGAAAGGCUGCUGGCAUUUUGUCAAAUCGCUUUCAGCCGUGAGCUGUUCGAUCAGCUUUUGGUUCUCCUGAAGUCACGUCAUACAUCUUUUUCAAUGCUGUUACAGAUCAUAAUAUUAUAAGAUGGCUCUCAAACGAUGGAGUGGCCGCAGUCUCGCUUCUACAGACGAGGCGCUUAGACGUGCCCCAGGGCUUGUCGUCGAAUUUGUCGCUGUUCCCAUUCCAGACCGCCCAACUCCAUGUACCUCUCUUCUGCUGACUCUUGUGGUCGACUGCUUUCGUUUGCUAUUGAAACGCUUGCAUUGGUUUGGAUGAUUUCAUAAGACCAUCACCUGCCGUUCCACUUGAGUCUGGCCUCUCGAUCGUCGAGCGGGUAGGAAACAUUGUCACUGUAGUGAGGACACCCGCAGGCCAACAACUUUACGUUUGUGACCUGUGUGGGGCACAGACAGAGGUUGCAACACGAUCGUUAAAGGUGCAUCUGGAGACACAUUACGGCCCGGAGAAACCUUUCCCCUGCAAGUUCUGUAAUAGCUACGCCAGUGAACGAUUUGACUCACUGAAAAAACACUAUAGAACACACACAGUCAGAAAUUGGGAUCUUCUUCACUCUCAAAAAUCCGGCCGCUUGUUUUACUGUCAGUGACUGUAAAAAGUGGUAAUUCGUUGAAGUGAGGUCUGGAGAAUAUGGCGGGUAUAAAGGAACCUUUCGCUCGAACUCUGACAGAUAAGUCUUUACAGUCUUUGUCUAGUAAUGCUAUGGAGAAGGAUGACUCUGUCUACCAGGUCUCUUUUAUUGCUUCCUUCUUUUUGUUCAAUCGAUGCAACCGGGCCAGAUAUAUAUAUAUAUAUAUAGAAAUAAUUUUAUUUUCCUAUUCUUUAGCGCGCAAAACCCUUCCAAUUUCAUCAGAUGUAACUCAUAGUCUCUCUUCGAUGAAACAAUCUGAAUCUAAGCUUCGGCGUAGUCAUUACUUUCUCUAUCUUAUAUUGAUGUCGAUGUGCCAUUUCUCAUCAGCUGGAACGACCAUGUAGAAAUAUGUCAUUAUGGCACCAUGUUAUUAGGCGAAAUAUUGAUAAUCAAUGAAAAGUCAUGCUGCCUUUUAUACUCAACGCUGUUUAUAAUGCAUUAAGGCUCUUAACUUUUGAUAAAAAUUUGAUACAUUUAAAAUACUCAAGUUAAAAAUACUCUAUUUACCGGCCAGUUAACGACUCCUUUGAUCUCAUCGUAUGGCUGACCAGCGUAGGGCACAUUUUCUAUGCCAAGAUUCUAUAUUUAAUUAUAGCAAACCUCUUUAGAGCAGUUCUCUUAGCCCAGCUAUAUAUGGAGCAUGUAUGCAGGGUUACGUCCGCUAUUGUUUUCACUUGGCAAAGGGCGAAAUACUGUCGGUGUCGAAAAUAAAUAUUUUUUUAACCUGAAACUUCGUGCGGUUCGACAUCUUGCCCAAUGACAUAUCUAUAAAAAUUCAGAUGGCAGAGAGAUAAAAGAAAAGGGGAGUAUAAAAACAGUCCUUAUCUGUAUUCCAAUCUAAUUUUUUGGAGACCGGAAAAUUUAGGUGAAAAUGUAAAGACAUAGUUUCCAGUAACCGAACGGCAUAUUAACGGCUAGCGUAGUUUAGCCAGAGCGUGACUGAACUCUUUACAAAAUGUAUUUAUUGAAAGUAUUCAUUUUGAUAGAGAAGCUGCUCUUAGUGUACUACAUUUACAUCAGUGCUGACAUCCUUAAUGGGAAUGGUAUACGUGUUUCCGCUAAACGUAAGGAGAAUAGUUAGCUUUUAUAAAGUUUAUAUCUGAGAGAAGAUUAAUGGCAGUGUUGAACUUUUAUUUAUUUACUGUAUAAAUCUUAUAUGACCAGCAUACGUGCUCUGGGUUAACUUUUAGAGUAUGUCGUUAGGUUAUUGAAACGCAAACUUUUAUUGUGACCAUUCAGGCGAGAAACCCUACGUCUGUCCAUUAUGUCUCUUCCGUACCGUAACAAAUUCAUCGUUUCAUCAACACUUCCGCAAGGAACAUGCCGACCAAACGAGUCCUGGGCACAAGGUUCAACCAAUUUUCGACUCCCCCGCUGCUUUUCCUCAGCCAGGGCCCGUCGUCGUAUCUUCAAUCAGUGGCCGACCUUCUGCUGGCGUAGGUGGAAUUCUGCCGGAGCGCUAGCAAAUAAUUGUGUAUACUCAAUAGAAACCAUUGGUCGAUAUGCAUCACAAUAGGAAUAGGCGCGGGUAUUUAACAGACAUGCGAAAACUUUAAAUACUAGACAAGACGAAACGUCUUAAACAAAAGAGCUUUAUCACUCGUGCAUGAUUUAGAAAUGAUUAGUGAAAAGUUUUAAUGUCUUACUAUUGUCAUACGGUCGAAACGUGAGAAAACGUCGAAUGUAACCAGUAACCAUGGAAUUCAUAGAUGGUAUAAUCUAUGAACAAAUAGACAUUCCAAUUUUUCCGACUGCGAAGUUGUGCCAGUUUCUGAAGCAGCUAUCAUGGUUGGUCCUCACAAGGACAUCGUCCUCGUGCCUGCUGUAUUCAAGCUAAAACGCAGCGUUCUUACAUUCCUUAAAAUAGAAAGUGAUUUGAUCUAUUUACCGACUUUAGCGCUCGGUAGUUAUACACCCGUCAAAAUAAUACUUUACGAAAUACAUUUGUCAAAUGUUACUGCCUCUUACGCAUAAAAAGACAUUGCGCAAUGGCUAGUAGAGUUGAAAUAUUCGCCGAAAACAAACGAAUCUGUUUAGAAAGGUUCAGGGGUUUUGCUGUUUUGGUAGUAUCACACAUCCAAACCUGAGCGUGUACCAGUCUAGACAAUCCGAGAAUUUUAUCUACCCUACCAGUUUUUCUGAAUUGAAACGAGACGGUUACGGCUGUAACCCUUGAUUUUCGUAUCUCUAGUUAAAUCCAUUCCAAAAUAAGUCAUUGAAAUCAUGUGCAUUUUGUUCUAAACAAAUUUAGUUUCCAAGGGUAUAAAAAUAUCCUCUGUUUUACGAUACAUAUGUUUCAUGGUUCAAACAGGAGAUGUUAAAAUUGGUGACUCGUAAAAUUCCUGUUUAGGUUUAGUACUAUACGUCAAUACAAGCGGCGUCCUCAACGGCCUACUAAUUUUGCUCAAUUAAUCGGACGUCAUCUGGAACAGUACUAGAUUUUUUUCAAUGUACACCAUGCGGCGAGGAGAAGUAACCGCAGUAACUGAUAACUCGAAGAAUCUAGCCCAAAUAGGUACUCCCUCAUUAUGAAUGCUUACGUCGGAUCUUACAUCGGAUCUUACGUCAGAUGUAAGUAGAACAUAGAUUACUAAAGGAUCAAAUAGGUUGUGUCGAGCCCAGACUAUAGAAAGUGUUUUAUUGCAGAGUAGAUUCCUUUUGGCAGGAGGUUGCUAGAGCUUUCGUCGCUCUUGCAGAAAUGUUUGUGUCAUGUUAACACUUUUUCUAAUAUGCCUUUUGUAAGCACAUGUAUUAAAUAUAGUUGAAAGCUAUAUUCAUUGCAUGUAAACGCAUUUGGUAUUCUAGUAUAGAAUGACUAGAACGCACGUUCUAUGCCACACGCUACUUUCUAGUUUUCGGUUAUAUUCAUUCUAAUUCAGAACAAAAACAUCUUAUGCUUACAAAUAAUCUUUAUUGCCAUUACUUUAGUUACAGUCCUGGGAGAUACAAGGAUAUGCAGGCCUGCACAGAUCUUACACUAUUCAAAGCGGCGGCUUGUGUCAGUUAGAGAAGAUCUCGAUAGUUGAAAUGACAAAGAUUUUAUUAAAGACGAGUGCAGAUUAUGUGUGGUUUUGAGUCUGUUAACCCUUCGAUUUCUGCCGAUUAAUAUUUACUUUGUUCCGUAAUGCUAAUGAAACCAAACCAUUUUCAGUUGCUUACCAAGGGUAUAUGAGUUUUUCAACAUUCGACUUCUGACGCCUUGAGUUUGCAGUCUGCGACUCAGUGCCCAUCCAUAGUAUAUAAACAACGGCGAUUUAUAUCUCAUAUGUAGUGCCUUCUUAUAACGCAGUAUUUUAAAUCACUAACGCUCAAUACACAGCGUCGCCUUACGACCGAAGCGUAGAGACAUUCGAUACUGGAAAACAUAAAGGCUGCGGAGUGAUAAGUUACUUUAUUAUUAAUUAGUUAGAGUCGAUAGAUCUCCGAUGCGGCUGUGCACAGAAAAUCUAUCGGCUCUCUGGUGACGGCAGAAUAUCGGAGAUUUUGCCCAGUCUAAAUACAAAAUUUUAGAAGACAGAUGAACUCACGCUUUCAUUUGUGAAACUUUUGUUACACACUCUUGGUGCGCAAGCUCUCAAGUAAUUGUCAAUCAUAAAGCGUUUGUAUUUAAUGAACUUCUACGGCGUUUAUGUUGGCGCGAAAAUCUGUGGGGUUUUAUUACACGAAAAAAACGUGUUCCGUAUGAUAUCGAAUAGACAGUGGCUUUAGAUCGAAUAGAAAUCCUUUUUUUAGCAUCUUAAUACGAUGUGAUUGAGGGUUGAUAAUUUACAGGAUCUACAUAUUUCAUAAAGGUCUGCGCAUUCGUAGAAGCUUUUAUUGGGUAUCUGACAAGGCAGGCCUCCUGCCAAAGUUUGUUUUUGCAAAAAUGCAUUGUAAUAAACUAUGACACUGUUUCGGGUUCGCCAACGACACGUAACUACACAGUUUAUGUGAAUAACGAACGUUAGUUUUAUCAUUUUUCUAAUGGUAAAAUUAAGACUCUAGGAUGUACUAUCCUUAAACUCUUAUUUUAAACUUAUUUUACAUUUUGUACUCUAACGGAAAGACAAGCUAGGCUUCAAAAGCUUUGACUUUGUGUUUUCAAGUCUCAAAUACACGGACUGCAUAUUUUCACGACAUAAACUUUUUGAAAUAAUUAUCUAACAGAGUUAAUACUUCACUAACAACUAAAAGAGUACAUUGACAACAGUGUACGCUUACGGAGCAUUUCAUUUUAGGAGUGAACUGGAUGCUUCUCGGUAAUAAAAAAAGGUUAAAAUCUUCACGACUGUGGCAAAGCCCAUAUGUGUAACGCAAUGUAAUGAACAUCACAAUUCAGGAUACCAGUAUUAAAUAUUCCUAUUGAGUGACUCUGGAUUUGAGGAAAAAUACUUGAGAAUAUUUCCUGUCAAAACAAAUGUAAAAGUGUCCCAGUAGUCAUUUAGGUAUGAAUAUAUGUACAGAUAUUUUCAUAUGUGUCUAUAUGCCAGUAUUUGUUCCUAUUUUUCCAACCUUUAGUUCCUGAGCGUGGGGUCUAAGUGUUUUUUUCAGUGUUCGUAUUACAUAACGUAUGAAACUAAGUGUACUUUUGUUUUUCUUUGAAAGCAUAACGUGGGUUCGUCGCGAAAACAGUUGACACCACAAAUCGCUCAAAAAAUGUCCGUUCUUCCACCCGAAACAUCAAUGAAACAUACCAAAAGUAACCAGGAAUUUUAAAUGUAUGCAUUCCACAGACGAAUUCAGCUUCUCCAGUCAUAGUCACAUGUAAAUAGAAGCAAGUUUUUUACGUGUCGAUCGAUUGGAUUUAUGUUCUUUUCGAGUGUACAAAUAAAUUGAGGCGAAGCAUGGUGUUGGUUUACUUGAGUGGAAAAUUCAUCUAUCAGGUAUCACCUUCCUAUCAAUACCUGUUUCCCAGCAUGCUUAUAGUAAGGGGCCAAUGUCGGACCCAAUGAAGUUUUUUCCAAGCGUCCUGUCAACCUACAAUGUACGCAGUCAAUGUUCGUAAGGUCGGUCGCGAUCACGGGUGGCAAGAACUAACCCAGAGUAGACAAUCUUCGUACGCGACCUAAUCUAUCAUAUUAUCUCCCUUACACCGUCUAAAUAUCAACGACGUUAUAAGAAAAAAUACGUAAGUUUUAUUGUAUGUGCAUUUUUUUUUGGCAGAAACAAUAGCCCAUAAUGCUAUUGAGCAACCUAGUGCCUCUCAUGAGGUGAUAUGAUAGUCGUUGAUCAAUCCUCGUGCAAUUAUAUAUAUAUAUAUAUAUAUAUAUAUUGAUAUAUAUAUAUAUUGAUAUAUUCAUACAGUGUGGGCAAAAGUCUCUUAACAGUUGGAAAAUCUUCAUUUCACACCUGUUGAAAUAAAAUGUAGUGAAAACAAGAACAACGAUAGCAAAGUAAAAACUCCCAAGUUGUAAAGUGACUUUUUCACACUGCCGAAAAAUGUUUGCCCCUUACAACAUUACAAUGUCAUUGAUAUACCAUGUCACUAUAAAAUGCCCGAGAUGGACUACGUGCUAUGUACAAAUAACCGGACUUUAUGCCGAAGAAAUAUAGAACAAUGUAGGUUAGAGGGACUAAUUUCCGUGGGUAAGAUGUCUGGAGAUCGUAUCAUCCUGGGAAAAUGCACAUUAGUGCAUUUGCGUUCCGCUGAAACGCAUGUAUACAAAUUACCAAACUAUUGCUUCAUUCAUACAGUAUGUGUAUAAAUAUACGGUUUUAAAAUAAACCAACAUUG